Taeniopygia guttata (zebra finch) is the source of this 3451-nucleotide non-coding RNA. The record is from RefSeq and is a predicted model, not a curated record. NCBI's taxonomy places the organism in Eukaryota, Metazoa, Chordata, Aves, Passeriformes, Estrildidae.
UCCCCUACACUUCUGCUAAAGGAAGGUCUCAUCCUCAUCAGAUAAUGGCAAGACAAGACAAGUGAUCCUCUGCUGCAUUUCUUCAUAACAGGGUGCAGCUCACCAAAUGUCAUUUACUGCACUCUAUAGCCUCAUCUGAAGGUGGAAUUAUCCUCUGUAGGCUGUGUUUCUCCUUGCUAUGAUACCUGAGUGCCUCUUAGACCUGAAUGUAUUUCUCUAAUAUCCAUUCAAGGUGGGAGGGGGUAGUUAUGUCAUCUUCCAAGAUGAGAACCUGGACAUGGGAAUUAGUUUCCUAGGAGGAUUUAGGAUGUAAUUUGUAGCAUCUGCUUUUAAAAUACUCUGCCAUUUAGUGCCUGCCCCAUCACAAACAGAGCAAACAUCAUUCGCUAACCAGGGAAAAGUAUUGGCAAGAGGGGAACAGAUUCAACACUCUUUUUCCAAGAGUGGGAGAUUUCCAUUCCCCUCAAGAUUCACUGUCAGGGACAUACAUCUGGGAUAAAAUGAGAAAGCACUAAGUGAUGGAUUCAGUGCCAUUCUUCCUGUUUUCUGUAGUCUGUAGGUAAUAGCUUUUAUCUACACUAGAUAAAAUAAAUUUGAAUCCUUCUUCUGCAUAACUACAUCUAAUUUGGAUCAAACCUAAUUGGAUAUGACAAUAAUGAAAUUGAAAACAAAUCUAUUAUGUCAUAACAUCACCAGGUAUUGCAGUACUUGUAGGUUUAUGGGAGUCAUGGUUUAGAGGCUGUUUUUUACUUCUCAAUCCCCUCUGUUCUCCCACUGCUACAUUCUUGCUGUGGAGCUGGGAUCUGAUUCUGUGGAUUUUUUGCUAAAAACUCUUCCCUCUUCCUGCCCUCAAAAGCAAGGGAUUUUCAAACUGGACAAUGUUUUCUGGACUCCUGACACGUGGAUGCAAGAAGAGAGCUUUCUGUGCAACAGCACUACCUGGAAAAGCAAGAGGGCUGAAGUCAGGAUCCAGCAGGUUUGGGCAGUGCAGGACUGGGCUGGGCCCCCAGCACAGGGCUUCCAACUGGCAUUGCUGACACUUCAGUGGCACAUCAUAACAGACUACAUUUAUUAUCAGAAAACAUUUCAUUCUAUGGGCAUUUAUAUACUGUCCAAAACUAGUUUCAGCUGCCAGUCUUGCCCUAUGAAGUUCAUUUUAUGUAACUACUCUUCACCAGAUCAGGAACUACAACCUACCAUUCCUGUCUCCCUGAUGCUGGCCUCAGUACGCAGAAUCUCUCCCUUUUUAUCAGAAAUUUUGAAUCAGAGAUGAGCCUGUUCUGUGAACCCAGCUGAGGCUAACCUCUGGAGCAGGAUGUAUGCAGCUCAGAAUUUUCAAGUUGUAAGUUCAAGUUGUGGUUCUCUACACAAACAUAGCAAAGAGAAGGUCUAGCUAUGAGCAUCCUCUGGUUACUACACCUCUGAAUAUUUUCCUGCACAUUUCCCUUAGGAUGUAAGCAGAUAUUUUAAAGUAAAGAGCAUUUAGGAACCUUGACUGGCCACACUAUAAAGCCUACCAUCUUUUUUUCAGCAUGUUUGGCUUUAGACAUGGAAGGACAGCUCCUGUUUAAUUCACUUGAGCCUGAUGUGUAAACCUGAAGCACCUUGGUGAAAUAAGUAGAGCUACAGCCAGAGCAGAAAGGCAGAACAAGCAAUUGGGAGUCUCAUGCAAAUUCUCACAAAUUAUUCCAUCUGAUGACUUUGAGACAAAAAUAGAUGUCUGAAAAAUUGCCUUUAAUGUAAACUGAAGCUUUGAACUCCACAGCAGUACUUGUUGCAGAGCAAAGAUCUUGUUUGGGUAGUCUAUCUUGAAUUUUAGUAGUUGCAAUAUAAAGACUCUUGAAGAAGAUACUUGAAUAUGAAUGAAGUAAAAUUAAAAGGAAGACAGUAAACCAUAAGUCUGACAUGAGGGAUAAGGCAUCAUAAGAUAUGUCAAGAAACUGAGAAAAUUCUCUGUUUUUUAAAGAUGGUAGUUAAAAAAUACUUUUUUGCAGAAUAUUAACUGACACUGAGACAGGCUCUACACCAAAACAGACCCUCCUUAGCACUGUGGGAUGAUGAAAGAAACCAACAGACAUUUUAAGAAAGGGCUCAGUGAGGGAAAUGCCACUUGCCCUGUAUAUUUCCUAUUGCCCUAUUGCAUCAGUGCUUUUGGAAUAGAACAAAAAUGAUUUCACUAGUAGAAAAGUGCCAGAACAGGGGGAGGGAGCUUCACAGAAAAAAAAAAGAAGUGGUGAAACACUGUGUUUGGAAAGUGAUGAUAUUUUCAUUCCAACCUUAUACUGCAAAGAGUGAGAUGCAACUAAAAGCUCUGUUCCAUGGAAAAGCCAAGCAAAACUCUUGAUCAGAAGUAAUAGUGUCUUGUUAAAGUGCAAUAAAAGAUAUACCUUCAUCUGAAAACAGCAUCUUCUUUCUCUCUCAAGCUGUUGUACAUGUAGUUUCUGUUGAUUUCAGUGACAUUUUGGAAAAAAAUUUAGUUAGUUUCUUUUUUUUUCAGCGUAUACCAGCAGGAUGAACACAAAAUUCUCCCUCCCAAAAAGAAUCAGUUGCUGAUGCAGACAGGAGAAUACUCUAUCACAGACAAAGGGAAGAUUUUCUAUCACCCCUUUUUGCCACACCUGGCUGAUCCUGACCCCAGGAAUUGCUCAGGUCUCCCCAGACCUGAGUUUCUCGUGUUAACUGCACAAAGGAGAACCAGGUCAGUAAAGUUUACUCUGCAAAGUGUUUAAGUGAAUUCAUUUUGAUUGGAGCAACUAAAGGUGCAGUUUACACAAGAAGCAGUUCACACUGCAAGAAGAAAACAAGCAAUCCAGCCACUAAGUCUGAUGGACAGUAAUUUCCCACAGAGGAGCAAUGUUAAGUGAACUAGGGACAAGUGUCCCUUCCACUUUUCCCACCACCACAGCUGGGUUCAGACCAGAGCAGCUACUGGCAAUCAGAUCACCCACUGUCUCCUGCAGAAAGUUCUGCCCUUUAAGAGCCAGAGUUAGAGGUUUAAAGCUACCCAAUUAGGCAAUUUGGGGAAAUUUUUUUUUUUAAUGCUAUGAUUUUACUUCAGUCACUGAAUAACAGAAAAUCCAUAUUUUCCUAUGUCAUUUUUAUGACCACAAAUCUGUGUUUUGCUGCCAUCAGAAAUGUUCAGAGAGUUAAUGUGGUGUAACAGCAGUCCAAAUGAAAUUAAUCUGCAAAUUGUCAUAGUGAUUUGAGGUUGACAAGAAUUUCUUCUCAGCUGGAAACCGCAGAGGGAGAGCUUCACAGAUCACUUGGUCAGCUACGUGCCCCAUUAAACAUCACUGACUGAUAUCAGUGAAGGCUUAUCAAUCACCAGAGUCCCAGAUACUGUGAAGAGAUUAGGAGUGCCACAGUUUAGUAUGGAAAAUAAAAUCCCUGGUGGGUUUUCUGCGUCCUCCAGUCUGCUUUGUUUUGUAGUGAAAUUUUAAUAGGAGUUCAA